RNAcentral lists this ribosomal RNA (244 nucleotides) under uncultured bacterium. Its description in RNAcentral is "partial 16S ribosomal RNA". It matches the Rfam family "Bacterial small subunit ribosomal RNA", at positions 89 to 334 of the family's 1533-position model. The record is from RNAcentral.
UGGCGACCGGCGCACGGGUGCGUAACGCGUAUGCAACCUACCUUUAACAGGGGGAUAACACUGAGAAAUUGGUACUAAUACCCCAUAAUAUCAUAGAAGGCAUCUUUUAUGGUUGAAAAUUCCGAUGGUUAGAGAUGGGCAUGCGUUGUAUUAGCUAGUUGGUGGGGUAACGGCUCACCAAGGCGACGAUACAUAGGGGGACUGAGAGGUUAACCCCCCACAUUGGAACUGAGACACGGUCCAA